Molecule: ribosomal RNA, 799 nt
Filed under: uncultured bacterium
Lineage: Bacteria
Description: bacterial SSU rRNA
Rfam family: Bacterial small subunit ribosomal RNA
Source: RNAcentral
GAGUUUGAUCCUGGCUCAGGACGAACGCUGGCGGCGUGCCUAAUACAUGCAAGUCGAACGCACUCUGGAACUGAUAGAAGAAGCUUGCUUCUGAUUGAAGCUCAUUUGAGUGAGUGGCGGACGGGUGAGUAACACGUGGGUAACCUGCCCUAAAGUGGAGGAUAACAUUUGGAAACAGAUGCUAAUACCGCAUAAAACCUAGCACCGCAUGGUGCAAGGUUGAAAGAUGGUUUCGGCUAUCACUUUAGGAUGGACCCGCGGUGCAUUAGUUAGUUGGUGAGGUAAAGGCCCACCAAGACUGUGAUGCAUAGCCGACCUGAGAGGGUAAUCGGCCACACUGGGACUGAGACACGGCCCAGACUCCUACGGGAGGCAGCAGUAGGGAAUCUUCCACAAUGGACGAAAGUCUGAUGGAGCAACGCCGCGUGAGUGAAGAAGGUUUUCGGAUCGUAAAACUCUGUUGUUGGAGAAGAAUGUAUCUGAUAGUAACUGAUCAGGUAGUGACGGUAUCCAACCAGAAAGCCACGGCUAACUACGUGCCAGCAGCCGCGGUAAUACGUAGGUGGCAAGCGUUGUCCGGAUUUAUUGGGCGUAAAGCGAGCGCAGGCGGUUUUUUAAGUCUGAUGUGAAAGCCUUCGGCUCAACCGAAGAAGUGCAUCGGAACUGGGAAACUUGAGUGCAGAAGAGGACAGUGGAACUCCAUGUGUAGCGGUGAAGUGCGUAGAUAUAUGGAAGAACACCAGUGGCGAAGGCGGCUGUCUGGUCUGUAACUGACGCUGAGGCUCGAAAGCAUGGGUAG